This is a long non-coding RNA of Elgaria multicarinata webbii, 1469 nucleotides long. RefSeq lists it as uncharacterized. Lineage: Eukaryota; Metazoa; Chordata; Lepidosauria; Squamata; Anguidae. The transcript has 5 exons. The record is from RefSeq and is a predicted model, not a curated record.
GUUCCCCAAAAGACAUGGGUAUAACACGUGAGAUGUCAGGGAGGGGGAGACACCUAACUUCUGAUUGACAACUGUUAAAGAUACUGGAGCCCUGUCCUCCUUUCCAUAUGGUCAGCCUACAGGUUGGGGAAGGCUGAAGUAUAGGAUUGCCAUCCUUAAACAAAUGAAAACAGGCCGCCAUGAAAGACACAAGAGUAUAGCAGACUAAAAAAGCUCACAAAUGAACCCUUUGCUAAAAGAAGGAGCCUCACUAAUAAGAGAGACAGUGUGGUGUAGUGGUUGGGACUAGGGAGACAUGGGUUCCAGUCCCCAUUUGGCCAUGGAAGCUCGCUGGGUAACUUUGGGCCAGUCACUGACUCUCAGCCCAACCUACCUCACAGUGUUGUUGUGAGGACAAAAUGGAGAGGAAGAGGACCAUGUAAGCUGCCUUAGAUUCCUUGCAAGAAGAAAAAAAGUUUUGCAGUGUUUCGGGUUCCAUGUGUGUUAAAGAGAAAGAUGAACAAAACGAUGAACAUUGGUUUGUUAACGACAGACAACCUAUCCAAAGUAUGCUGGGAAGUGCAAGAUGGACAGGAGUUCAAGUUGCUGUCAUGAAAAUUGUGAGGCCAGAUGUUUUCCACACCACUAUCACCAAUACACGCAACUGAGAGGGAUCUGGAAAUGCCCUGGAUUCCCAUGCAGGAACCCCUAUAAGGGCCAGAUGCUCCCCUGCUGUUCUCUACCUUGAGCAAGGCUCCCCCACCACCGCCACCCAACCACCACCGUCAUGAAAUAGCCAAAUUUCUCUCACUACAAAACCAAUUUUAAAAUCAGGGAUCGGGUGUCUAUAUUUAGGAACACUGAGAUCUGAAACGUGAUCAGCAAUGAAGGUCAGAGGUAGAUUUGAUAUAGAAGAUUUGAUAUAAUCACAUUUGAUAUAUAGAUUUGAUAUAAUCACUCGGCUCUUCAGUGGCAGAGGGAUUUUGAAAGAAAAGACAAAACAGUUGUGUUCUCUCCACCCCAUAAUGUUUAUUACUUCUAUAAUAAUGAAAAAGAAUGUGCCAUCAUUUUUGCACCAUAGCUCUAAGUCCAUGACACCUCCACACCUGAAACACGCCAGGCCUACAGGUGUGCGCACCUCUGCGUUAUUUGCUCUCUGCUGUGGCACCCUGGCUGUGGAAUGAGUUCCCUAAGGAGGUUCGCUUGGCACCUACAUUAUAUGCUUUUAGAGGCCAGGUGAAGACCUUUUUAUUCUCCCAGCAUUUUAACAGUCUAUAAAAAAAUUUAACUUGGUGUUUUAAAUUUGUAAUUUUGCAUUGCUGCUGUUUUUAUCUGGUUGAGCUUUUAUAUUGUACUUUAUAUUAGGGUUUUAUACUAUUGUUUUAUACUUUGAAUGUUUUUAAUUUUUGUGAACCGCCCAGAGAGCGCUGGCUAUUGGGCUGUAUAGAAAUGUAAUAAAUAAAUAAAUAAAAUGCAUUCAUUAAUUCAAA